GAGAGUAAGUUAAAUGCCAUUUGUAUGUUGGCAGUACCAGUAUUCUUGUUAUGAGAGUAGUUCACCUAGUGACUCCAUGUGAAUGUGGAGAAAGAAAGACUGAUGAAAGAACAGCUGCAUGCAAUUUUCUAUUACUUGGAUCUUUGGUUGAGGGCCUUCAGAAGGUACUCAGUCUAUUUUAGCAAACUAUAUCUUCCACCUCUUUCUGAUAUGACAGACAGUGCUGUGUUGUCAACAUUACAAAUGUUCAGGCUCUGAAACAUGGAAAUGCUUUUUUGCCCUCUAUCCACUGACAAAAGGUGAUCAUCCAUCACUGCCAUCAAAGUAAUUUUAGUUCACUCUCUUUCCCUGACCUGAAUUCAGAGUCAUUAACUCAGUUUCAUAGGAGCAUAAUUUCAAUCAUUUAACUAAUAGCAUUUCAGAAUUUAGCACGUGUUGUUCACUGAGUGUCGUUCUGUGAAGUGUUUGAGACAUCUUCAAGAAUAUCAGGACUCAAGUCCUUAGCAGGAUACAAACCCUUCAAAAACACAUUCUCUGGGAAGCACAAAUGACUGCACAUUGCAAAAUCACCCAGGAGUGCAAUAUGCAGGAUGAAUGGUUUCCAUCUCUACAUUGCAUUUUCCAGUUCCCAGAAACUAACUCACAUGGGAAAAGCCUUUUUAAUCCCAAUAUAAAACAUAGAGGCGAAAUCUGUCAAUUGUUAAAUACCCUGCAAAAUCCCACUUCUUCUGUAAAACUUGCAGGAAAUUCCUAUUGCCUAUUUCUGUUUCCCUCUAGAUAGAUAAAACACUUUCCAUCCCAAUCUUACACUUUGAUACAUAGUAUUUGUACAAACACCUUUAAAGGACUUUACUUUCUGUGGAAGCCAAUAGCAAGCACUUCAUGAGUGCCAGCAACAUCUUAGAAACAUCUUGUAAAGGAUGGCUGAGUGAUUUCAUUUCUAAAUGCCAGAUCCCUUGAUGUUGAAUACAUGACCACAGCACAGGCAAGGAGAUUUAAUUCGUUGUUCUGACAGGCAUAUUCAGGUUUUCUUUAAGUAAAAACAAAGAAGUAGGUCAUUUGUCUUCCCUCAGAUGACAUUCCUGCCUGGAACAGCUACAGCUGCAGUGUCAAUGGAGAGCUAUCCUCAUGUGGCUGCAAGCACGCAAUGCUGAUGGGCGAGUUAAGUGUCCUCAGCCACCCCUUCUCUCUCUGCAGUAAAUUCACCUCCUUGUGGGCACAGGCUCCCAGAAGGAAGCUGCCGCUGUGCUCAUGCUGCUCACAGCUGUGCUGCUGUCACUGUGCUGGUACAGUUGUGAGUGCUAGAACACACACCUUGAACAGCUAGAAAACUGGUGAGUCAGAGUCCUGCUGCACCCCAUGCAGUAUCACUGCAGGGUGGUUUAUGGCACAAAACAAAGAUCUCUGUGGUUUAUAGAAAUGAUGCUGGCAGUCUGGUAGAUAUAAUAAAAGUUUCACCAGACAAAUUGAGUUCUGUGGUGAAAAAUGUCAUCAGCUACUGUAUGCUGCAGCCCUGAAAUGUUACAUCCCUUUGCUGUCCUGCUUAGUUUGCUCUUCCAUGUUCUUGUAAGCAGAAAUAAUUACAUUUAGCAAGAUGUCAUACCUGCUUUUUAAAGAAAUCUUUCUGUGUUGUGACAUCAGAUUUUGUACUAGAGGUGUUCACAUUGAUGAAAAUUUGAAAAAGCAAAUGAAAAUACUAAUAAAAUAUUUUCUGAAAUGUUUAAAAUGUAAUUUUUCUUUAAGAGUCAAUGCCUACUGAAUAGUUAUGUAAUAAUGCUUAAAUGCAGUCUUUUCUUAGUCUUUCAUUAGGCAUAAUGAUUAUAAUGUAAAGUCACAUCAAAAGACAAAAGCAUACUGCUAUGAAAAAAGCCCUUGUGAGUCCUGUCAUUCUCAGGAAAUCAUGUUUGACAGAAACUUAUUUAUUUUAAGUUUUGUUACAAAGUACAAUAAAAAAAAAAGCCAAGUAAACAUACAUCUCCUCAUGCCUGAAGGUCCACUUCCACAUCUCAGUGUCUUUUAAGAGCGUUAGGCCAAGUUCCAAGCGGGAUUCACUCUCUACUAGAACUCCAAUCCCCUCAAGAACAUUAGGCUUAGUGCCAGCAUUCAUUUACUCUUGAAGCAGCUUAAAUUAACUCCUGUUACAUUCUGUCUAAACCCUUUCUUACAGAGUAAGAGUUGAGAGCUGGAUUCAGUCAGUUAGUCUGAAGGCCACCCAUCAUGCUUGUCUGUCUUCCUGGACUUAAAAUGCUGCAUAAACUAGAUUGGGGAAGUCAGUGAUCAGCUGUUUGUAAGUUGAGGGGGGAAGCUGGCAAGCCAUCUUUUGUAUACAUGUCCCCAUUUUAUGAGAAAUAGCGUGGGGGUUGGUUUGACUUAUUUAACAUAAGUACAUAUGACAGUAAGCUCCAACCAAAUGUGAGAUUUUAGUAGGCUGUAAAGUGUACUAACAGUAUUUUGAUACUUUCCUGGCAUAGCUGAACAGACAGCUAAUCAAAAGAGAGCAAAUAUCACUGCUUGGUUUUGUAAGUCAAGAACUGGAUUGUAAGAUUAUAUUUUGUCCAAUGUCAGACAGAAGAUUGAAAUGAAAGGUCUCACAAAGCCAGACCUUCCUUAGCUCUUCUUUAGACUUAUGUGGUCUCUUAAGAAUAUAAUUUCGGUUUUACUUUAGCAAACAUGAGAACAGUCUUUUUGCCUAUGAGUACAAGGCAAACACUAAAUCAGGUAAGGAUGCAAGCACAGGGAAGACAAGUUUUCCGAAAAGCGAUUAACACAAAAUGUUCUUAGCACAAUUAGAAAAGUACAGGGUAAUUGACAGAACUGGACAGUCAUUAAAGUUGGUCAGCUGAUACCUUGGUCUCUAUCCAGAGGCUCAAAAGUCCUGCACCAAGGUCUUCAUGGUGAAGGCUAGAAGCUGGGUUCAGAGAUUUCCAAAGCUGCUUUGUAUGACUGUUAUUCAUAGAAUAGUUAGAACCUUUCAAGGUCAUCUAGUUGACCUCCCUCCAAUGAGCAGAAACAUCUUCAGCUAGGUCAGGUUGCUCAGAGCCCUGUUCAGCUUUGACCAUUUUCAUAAUUUCUACCCAUCCCUGCUCCACAAGAAAAAAACAGAACCAAACAACAAAUAAAGAAGAGACUACUUUCAAGAAAUCUGAAUUACCUUCCUCCAAUGAAGAAUCUUUUAAGCUGUUAGUUUGUAAAAAGUCCAGUUGUUUUCUAUGCUUUGGAAAUGGAACUAAUUACCAGACAGUCAACAUUCAUCCACUAGUAGGUCUGAAAAUAAAUAUGAGCAUUUUGUGGCUAGAUAACACCAUUCAGCUCAUAAAUAAGACUUCACAGCAAUCUUUGCAGUUAGGAGCUACACUAUAAAUAUAGCUUAUCUUCAAAUAUUUUCAACUUGCUAAAGUUACUUGAAAGCUUAUCAUUAUAGAGUCCAUUUAAAAGGAAAAGAAUUAAAAUUUAUCUAAGAUAUGUGUCCCCAAAUACCUCUCAUAGCAUUCAUUUAUACUGACCUUUCUAACUCAUUGUCUUCCCACACUCUUUGUAUGUAGCUAGCUGAGAAACGUUGCUGGUGUAUGUAACAAAUUCCUUCAAGCUUCAGAAUUACUUUUUUAAAGUGAAGUUGAAAAUCAGAAAAGAAAGGUUGAAAGCAAAAUUCUUACUUAAAAAAAUCUGAGAAUGGAAGAUAACAGUAAUGGAAUCGGAAAGAUUUUAAAAUGCAGUUUUAAGUUGACAGUGACCUUCUUGUGAUAAAUAUUUGAUUUAUUAAAGAUAUGGCACACAGACUGAUUAAGCAUUAAAAUGAAUACAAAAGGCAGAUCAAAACUGAUAUUCUUUGGUGAAGGAAUAUUCAUUUUUUAAAUUUGAGAAGUUUAUUUGCUGUUACUUUCUAAGUAAGGCCAUAGGUCUCAGUUCAGUGACAAGUUUCAGAUAGUAUGCCUAAUUUUAAGCACUUUGAAAAAUUCUGUGCUCUGAAGCAAGACUAUUUAGACAUAAAAUUAACUGUAUACAUAAAUCUUUGAAGAUUCAAGACUUUUUUGCUAUUAGAUGUGAACUGUAGUUCAACUGCUGUUUUUAAUGAUAAGAUCCCAUGGCACUUUUGCAACAAUAAUAGAAGUCCCCUGAAAAUGUUUUAAGUAAUGGAAUUACAUUAUGUAUUUUAGCACUUAUAUUCUCCUCAUGUUUUUGGCUAAAAAGUUGUCCUUAAUUUUUCUUCCUUUGAAAACAUUCUUCUGCAGUGCUGCUAGCACUAAGUCUCAAAAAGAGAGACCUAUAGACCGCAGUCUAAAGCAACUACAUGUUGCUGCUACUGUGAUUUAUUAAUGAAAGUCACUUUAAUUAUCACAUCCUUAAUACUACUGAAGAUGGUGAAGUGUAUAUAAUUUCUGUGAAAAAUAAAGGAAUAAUAAAACUCUAAAUUAC
Molecule: non-coding RNA, 4413 nt
Organism: Lonchura striata (white-rumped munia)
Lineage: Eukaryota; Metazoa; Chordata; Aves; Passeriformes; Estrildidae
Source: RefSeq, a predicted model, not a curated record